This 400-nucleotide long non-coding RNA is filed under the name Ananas comosus (pineapple). RNAcentral's name for it is "long non-coding RNA (ACOM_LNC036997)". The record is from RNAcentral. Lineage: Eukaryota; Viridiplantae; Streptophyta; Magnoliopsida; Poales; Bromeliaceae.
AGUUUAGCGACUUUUCGGUCGUUUGAAUUUGGGUUUAGUUUAGCGACAUUUCGGUCGUUUGGAUUCGGGUUUAGUUUAGCGACUUUUCGGUCGUUUGAAUUUGGGUUGUUUAGUUUAACGACUUUGCGGUCAUUUGAUUUGAUUGUUUAGUUUAACGACUUUGCGGUCGUAGGUUUUAUUUGUGGACUUUGGAUUUUGGCAUUUUAUUUGUGGACUUUGGAUUUUGGGAUUUAUUUGUAGACUUUGGGUUUUGAAAUUUUAUUUGUGGACUUUGGGUUUUGAAAUUUAUUUGUGGACUUUGGGAUUUGGGUUUAUUUGUGGACUUUAGGUUUUGGAUUUAUUUAUGGACUUUGGGUUUUGGUUUGGCUCGAAUCUUUUGUAUUUUAUUCGAGAUGAACCG